Molecule: transfer RNA, 87 nt
Filed under: Oscillospiraceae bacterium
Lineage: Bacteria; Bacillati; Bacillota; Clostridia; Eubacteriales; Oscillospiraceae
Description: tRNA-Leu
Rfam family: tRNA
About the family: Transfer RNA (tRNA) molecules are approximately 80 nucleotides in length. Their secondary structure includes four short double-helical elements and three loops (D, anti-codon, and T loops).
Source: RNAcentral
GCGGAUAUGAUGGAAUCGGCAGACGUGGCAGACUCAAAAUCUGCUGUUGGAGACAACGUGUGGGUUCAAGUCCCACUAUCCGCACCA